CCAAAUCGAACCAUAUUUUAUGGAUUAGAGCCGGAUUAUAUAUGGACCCGAUCCGAUCUGAAUGAUCUGUUGGGUCAACAAAUUUGAUCAUGGAUCCGAUCUAAUUCGAUCUUCUAUUGGGUUAGGUCUGGACCCAAUAUCAAAAUUCGAUCAAAGAACCAGAUCGGAUCGGGGUCACUCAUGAUCCAGUCCAACCCAAUCCAUUUGUAUCCCUAUGAAUGAUGACUACCAAGAUGUCACCUCAAUGAAGAUAGCCAUGAUGACUAUCGAGUGCUUCAUCAUCUCG
RNAcentral lists this long non-coding RNA (286 nucleotides) under Elaeis guineensis (African oil palm). Its description in RNAcentral is "long non-coding RNA (EGUI_LNC026070)". The record is from RNAcentral. Lineage: Eukaryota; Viridiplantae; Streptophyta; Magnoliopsida; Arecales; Arecaceae.